GACGAACGCUGGCGGCGUGCUUAACACAUGCAAGUCGAACGGUGAAGCGCUUGCCUUUUUGGUGGGUGUGGAUGAGUGGCGAACGGGUGAGUAACACGUGAGUAACCUGCCCUCUUCUUCUGGAUAACCUCAUGAAAGUGGGGCUAAUACGGGGUAUUCCGGGUCUGUCGCAUGGCGGGUUUGGGAAAGAUUGCGCCUUUGGGUGUUUUCGGUGGGGGAUGGGCUCGCGGCCUAUCAGCUUGUUGGUGGGGUGAUGGCCUACCAAGGCGGUGACGGGUAGCCGGCCUGAGAGGGUGGACGGCCACACUGGGACUGAGACACGGGCCAGACUCCUGCGGGAGGAGGCAGUGGGGAAUAUUGCACAAUGGGCGCAAGCCUGAUGCAGCGACGCCGCGUGAGGGAUGGAGGCCUUCGGGUUGUGAACCUCUUUCGCCAGUGAAGCAGGCCUGCUCCUGUGUGGGUGGGUUGACGGUAGCUGGAUAAGAAGCGCCGGCUAACUACGUG
RNAcentral lists this ribosomal RNA (504 nucleotides) under uncultured bacterium. Its description in RNAcentral is "partial 16S ribosomal RNA". It matches the Rfam family "Bacterial small subunit ribosomal RNA", at positions 28 to 507 of the family's 1533-position model. The record is from RNAcentral.